GACGAACGUUGGCGGCGUGCUUAAUACAUGCAAGUCAACUGAAGCACCGGUAGCAAUACUGGUGUGGAGGUGGCGCACGGGUGAGUAACACGUAGGUAAUCUGCCUUCAGGUCUGACAUAACCCCGGGAACCGGGGACGUAAUAUCAGAUGAUGCAGCGGCUUGACAUCAAGACAGUUGUUAAAGCUUCGGUGCCUGAAGAUGAGCCUGCGUCUGAUAGCUAGUUGGCGGAGUAAUGGCCCACCAAGGCUACGAUCAGUAGCUGGUCUGAGAGGAUGAUCAGCCACACUGGAACUGAGACACGGUCCAGACUCCUACGGGAGGCAGCAGUAAGGAAUAUUGCUCAAU
This 347-nucleotide ribosomal RNA is filed under the name uncultured bacterium. Its description in RNAcentral is "bacterial SSU rRNA". It matches the Rfam family "Bacterial small subunit ribosomal RNA", at positions 28 to 372 of the family's 1533-position model. The record is from RNAcentral.